AGUAACACGUGGAUAACCUACCUAUAAGACUGGGAUAACUUCGGGAAACCGGAGCUAAUACCGGAUAAUAUUUUGAACCGCAUGGUUCAAAAGUGAAAGACGGUCUUGCUGUCACUUAUAGAUGGAUCCGCGCUGCAUUAGCUAGUUGGUAAGGUAACGGCUUACCAAGGCAACGAUGCAUAGCCGACCUGAGAGGGUGAUCGGCCACACUGGAACUGAGACACGGUCCAGACUCCUACGGGAGGCAGCAGUAGGGAAUCUUCCGCAAUGGGCGAAAGCCUGACGGAGCAACGCCGCGUGAGUGAUGAAGGUCUUCGGAUCGUAAAACUCUGUUAUUAGGGAAGAACAUAUGUGUAAGUAACUGUGCACAUCUUGACGGUACCUAAUCAGAAAGCCACGGCUAACUACGUGCCAGCAGCCGCGGUAAUACGUAGGUGGCAAGCGUUAUCCGGAAUUAUUGGGCGUAAAGCGCGCGUAGGCGGUUUUUUAAGUCUGAUGUGAAAGCCCACGGCUCAACCGUGGAGGGUCAUUGGAAACUGGAAAACUUGAGUGCAGAAGAGGAAAGUGGAAUUCCAUGUGUAGCGGUGAAAUGCGCAGAGAUAUGGAGGAACACCAGUGGCGAAGGCGACUUUCUGGUCUGUAACUGACGCUGAUGUGCGAAAGCGUG
RNAcentral lists this ribosomal RNA (667 nucleotides) under uncultured Staphylococcus sp. RNAcentral's name for it is "bacterial SSU rRNA". It matches the Rfam family "Bacterial small subunit ribosomal RNA", at positions 109 to 763 of the family's 1533-position model. The record is from RNAcentral. Lineage: Bacteria; Bacillati; Bacillota; Bacilli; Caryophanales; Staphylococcaceae.